Long non-coding RNA from Aricia agestis (brown argus), 87 nucleotides. RefSeq lists it as uncharacterized. The record is from RefSeq and is a predicted model, not a curated record. NCBI's taxonomy places the organism in Eukaryota, Metazoa, Arthropoda, Insecta, Lepidoptera, Lycaenidae. The transcript has 2 exons.
CUUUCAGUAUUAAAUAGCCCAUUGAUCGAGGAAGGCUGUAUUUUAUCACGGUAAGACUAAUGGGAGCGAAGAAAUAGAGGAAAAUGU